AUAUUCGUCAGGCAUAUUCGC
RNAcentral lists this non-coding RNA (21 nucleotides) under Arabidopsis thaliana (thale cress). The record is from RNAcentral. Lineage: Eukaryota; Viridiplantae; Streptophyta; Magnoliopsida; Brassicales; Brassicaceae.